GACGAACGCUGGCGGCGUGCUUAACACAUGCGAGUCGAACGGAAAGGCCCUGCUUUUGUGGGGUGCUCGAGUGGCGAGCGGGUGAGUAACACGUGAGUAACCUGCCCUUGACUUUGGGAUAACUUCAGGAAACUGGGGCUAAUACCGGAUAGGAGCUCCUGCUGCAUGGUGGGGGUUGGAAAGUUUCGGCGGUUGGGGAUGGACUCGCGGCUUAUCAGCUUGUUGGUGGGGUAGUGGCUUACCAAGGCUUUGACGGGUAGCCGGCCUGAGAGGGUGACCGGCCACAUUGGGACUGAGAUACGGCCCAGACUCCUACGGGAGGCAGCAGUGGGGAAUGUUGCACAAUGGGCGGAAGCCUGAUGCAGCAACGCCGCGUGCGGGAUGACGGCCUUCGGGUUGUAAACCGCUUUCGCCUGUGACGAAGCGUGAGUGACGGUAAUGGGUAAAGAAGCACCGGCUAACUACGUG
This 468-nucleotide ribosomal RNA is filed under the name uncultured bacterium. RNAcentral's name for it is "partial 16S ribosomal RNA". It matches the Rfam family "Bacterial small subunit ribosomal RNA", at positions 28 to 507 of the family's 1533-position model. The record is from RNAcentral.